This 69-nucleotide transfer RNA is filed under the name Ictidomys tridecemlineatus (thirteen-lined ground squirrel). Its description in RNAcentral is "Spermophilus tridecemlineatus (thirteen-lined ground squirrel) tRNA". It matches the Rfam family "tRNA". From Rfam's summary of the family: Transfer RNA (tRNA) molecules are approximately 80 nucleotides in length. Their secondary structure includes four short double-helical elements and three loops (D, anti-codon, and T loops). The record is from Rfam by way of RNAcentral. RNAcentral also lists the same sequence under 1 other name. Lineage: Eukaryota; Metazoa; Chordata; Mammalia; Rodentia; Sciuridae.
GGAGUAGUGGCUCAGUGGUAGAGCACUUGCCUGGCAUGUGUGAGGCACUGGGUUCAAUUCUCAGCUCCG